RNAcentral lists this ribosomal RNA (108 nucleotides) under uncultured eukaryote. RNAcentral describes it as "partial small subunit ribosomal RNA". It matches the Rfam family "Eukaryotic small subunit ribosomal RNA", at positions 1676 to 1785 of the family's 1831-position model. The record is from RNAcentral.
UCGCACCUACCGAUUGAACGGUCCGGUGAAGUCUCGGGAUUGCGGCGAGUUCCUUUAUUGGGGCUCGGUGCGAGAACUUGCCUAAACCUUAUCGUUUAGAGGAAGGUG